This 71-nucleotide transfer RNA is filed under the name Caudoviricetes sp. RNAcentral's name for it is "tRNA-OTHER". It matches the Rfam family "tRNA". Rfam says of the family: Transfer RNA (tRNA) molecules are approximately 80 nucleotides in length. Their secondary structure includes four short double-helical elements and three loops (D, anti-codon, and T loops). The record is from RNAcentral. Lineage: Duplodnaviria; Heunggongvirae; Uroviricota; Caudoviricetes.
UUCUUGAUAGUCUAAUUGGAAGAACGUGCAGCAAUAACUGUAAGACGGGGGUUCGAUUCCCCUUCAAGAAC